Oncorhynchus tshawytscha (Chinook salmon) is the source of this 418-nucleotide long non-coding RNA. The record is from Ensembl. Lineage: Eukaryota; Metazoa; Chordata; Actinopteri; Salmoniformes; Salmonidae.
CACACACACAGUUACUGUAGCAUCUCAAUAACACAGUGACUCUCUAAACCAUCUGAAUAAGGUGGGACGGAUGUCACUGUUCUGGUCUCCUAAAGGUCUGUCUGUCUGUUCUGUUCUCCUAAAGGUCUGUCUGUCUGUUCUGUUCUCCUAAAGGUCUGACUGCUCUGUUCUGUUCUCCUAAAGGUCUGUCUGUCUGCUCUGUUCUCCUAAAGGUCUGUCUGUCUGCUCUGUUCUCCUAAAGGUCUGACUGCUCUGUUCUGUUCUCCUAAAGGUCUGUCUGUCUGUCUGUCUGUCUGUUCUGUUCUCCUAAAGGUCUGUCUGUCUGUCUGCUCUGUUCUCCUAAAGGUCUGUCUGCUCUGUUCUGUUCUCCUAAAGGUCUGUCUGUCUGUCUGCUCUGCUCCUCUAAACCAUCUGAAUA